AGAGUUUGAUCCUGGCUCAGGAUGAACGCUGGCGGUCUGCCUAACACAUGCAAGUCGAACGGGGUAGCAAUACCUAGUGGUGGACGGGUGAGUAACGCGUGAGAAUCUGGCUUCAGGUCGGGGACAACAACUGGAAACGGUUGCUAAUACCGGAUGUGCCGAAAGGUGAAAGCUUUAGUGCCUGAAGAUGAGCUCGCGUCUGAUUAGCUAGUUGGAGUGGUAAGAGCACACCAAGGCGACGAUCAGUAGCUGGUCUGAGAGGAUGAGCAGCCACACUGGGACUGAGACACGGCCCAGACUCCUACGGGAGGCAGCAGUGGGGAAUUUUCCGCAAUGGGCGAAAGCCUGACGGAGCAAGACCGCGUGAGGGAGGAAGGCCUUUGGGUUGUAAACCUCUUUUAUUAAGGAAGAAGAAAUGACGGUACUUAAUGAAUAAGCAUCGGCUAACUCCGUGCCAGCAGCGCGGUAAUACGGAGAUGCGAGCGUAUCGGAAUUAUUGGGCGUAAAGAGUCCGUAGGCGUGAGACAAGUCUCCUGUCAAAGAAUGGGGCUUAACCCCAUAAAGGCAGAGGAAACUGUAACACUAGAGUCUAGGAGGGGUAGAGGGAAUUCCCAGUGUAGCGGUGAAAUGCGUAGAGAUUGGGAAGAACACCGGUGGCGAAAGCGCUCUACUGGACUAGAACUGACGCUGAGGGACGAAAGCUAGGGUAGCGAAAGGGAUUAGAUACCCCUGUAGUCCUAGCCGUAAACGAUGGAUACUAGGCGUAGCCUGAAUCGACCCAGGCUGUGCCGAAGCAAACGCGUUAAGUAUCCCGCCUGGGGAGUACGCACGCAAGUGUGAAACUCAAAGGAAUUGACGGGGGCCCGCACAAGCGGUGGAGUAUGUGGUUUAAUUCGAUGCAACGCGAAGAACCUUACCAAGACUUGACAUCCGACGAAUCUUUUUGAAAAGAAAGAGUGCCUAAAGGAGCGUCCUGACAGGGGGGGCAUGGCUGUCGUCAGCUCGCGUCGUGAGAUGUUGGGUUAAGUCCCGCAACGAGCGCAACCCUCGUCCUUAGUUGCCAAUAUUAAGUUAGGAACUCUAGGGAGACUGCCGGGGACAACUCGGAGGAAGGUGGGGAUGACGUCAAGUCAGCAUGCCCCUUACGUCUUGGGCUACACACGUACUACAAUGGUCAGGACAACGGGAAGCAAAGCUGCGAAGUGGAGCGAAUCUCAACAAACCUGGCCAAAGUUCAGAUUGUUCUCUGCAACUCGAGAGCAUGAAGGAGGAAUCGCUAGUAAUCGCAGGUCAGCAUACUGCGGUGAAUCCGUUCCCGGGCCUUGUACACACCGCCCGUCACACCAUGGGAGCUGGCCACGCCCGAAGUCGUUACUCCAACCGGAAACGGAGGAGGAUGCCGAAGGCAGGGCUAGUGACUGGGGUGAAGUCGUAACAAGGUAACC
RNAcentral lists this ribosomal RNA (1445 nucleotides) under uncultured bacterium. Its description in RNAcentral is "bacterial SSU rRNA". It matches the Rfam family "Bacterial small subunit ribosomal RNA". The record is from RNAcentral.